GCCUACGGCCAUACCACGUUGAACACACCGGUUCUCGUCCGAUCACCGAAGUUAAGCAACGUCAAGCCCGGUUAGUACUUGGAUGGGUGACCGCCUGGGAACACCGGGUGCUGUAGGCG
This 119-nucleotide ribosomal RNA is filed under the name Pomacea canaliculata. The record is from RNAcentral. Lineage: Eukaryota; Metazoa; Mollusca; Gastropoda; Architaenioglossa; Ampullariidae.